ACAGCUUUGUAGGAAUGCUGAUGC
Molecule: non-coding RNA, 24 nt
Filed under: Cricetulus griseus (Chinese hamster)
Lineage: Eukaryota; Metazoa; Chordata; Mammalia; Rodentia; Cricetidae
Source: RNAcentral